AAAAAGCUCGUAGUUGGAUUUCUGGUUGGCUGUUUCUGCCCUCUUGUGAGUGCGCAGUGGUAGCCUACCAUCCUUCUGUUAACCUAGCAGCUCUUCACGGGGCUGUUAGGGGCUCAGAUAUUUUACCUUGAGAAAAUUAGAGUGUUUCAGGCAGGCUAGCGCCGGAAUACAUUAGCAUGGAAUAAUAGAAUAGGACUUUUACCUCUUCUGUUGGUCUGAGGGGUUCAAGUAAUGAUUAAUAGGGAUAGUUGGGGGCAUUAGUACUUAACUGUCAGAGGUGAAAUUCUCGGAUUUGUUAAAGACUAACUUAUGCGAAAGCAUUUGCCAAGGAUGUUUUCAUUAAUCAAGAACGAAAGUUAGGGGAUCAAAGACGAUCAGAUACCGUCCUAGUCUUAACCAUAAACUAUGCCGACUCGGGAUCCGGGGCGAGAUUUAUCCGCCUUCGGCACCGUAUGAGAAAUCAAAGUCUUUGGGUUCUGGGGGGGAGUAUGGUCGCAAGGCUUGAAACUUAAAGGAAUUGACGGAAGGGCACCACCAGGCGUGGAGCUUGCGGCUCAAUUUGACUCAACACGGGGAAACUUACCAGGGUCCAGGACAUAAGUGAGGGAUUGACAGAAUGAUAGCUUCUUUUCUUGAAUUCUUAUUGGGUGGUGGGUGCAUGGGCCGUUCUUAGGUGGGUGGAAGUGAUUUGUCUGGUUAAUUUCCGUUAACGAACGAGACCUUAGCCUGCUAACUAGUUCUUUCCAAUCAUGAUUGGUUAGAACUUCUUAGAGGGACUUUGUAAGCAAAUACAAGGAAGUUGAGGCAAUAACAGG
Molecule: ribosomal RNA, 815 nt
Filed under: uncultured eukaryote
Lineage: Eukaryota
Description: SSU rRNA
Rfam family: Eukaryotic small subunit ribosomal RNA
Source: RNAcentral